UAAGGAAUAUUGGUCAAUGGGCGAGAGCCUGAACCAGCCAUGCCGCGUGCAGGAAGACAGCCUUAUGGGUUGUAAACUGCUUUUAUGCCGGAAAAAACCCCUAUACGUGUAUAGGGUUGAUUGUACGGUAAGAAUAAGGAUCGGCUAACUCCGUGCCAGCAGCCGCGGUAAUACGGAGGAUCCGAGCGUUAUCCGGAUUUAUUGGGUUUAAAGGGUGCGUAGGCGGGUGCAUAAGUCAGUGGUGAAAUCCUUCGGCUUAACUGAAGAAUAGCCAUUGAUACUGUGUGCCUUGAGUACAAAUGAAGUGGGCGGAAUGUGUAGUGUAGCGGUGAAAUGCAUAGAUAUUACACAGAACACCGAUAGCGAAGGCAGCUCACUAAGCUGUAACUGACGCUGAGGCACGAAAGCGUGGGGAUCAAACAGGAUUAGAUAAGUC
Molecule: ribosomal RNA, 436 nt
Filed under: uncultured prokaryote
Description: bacterial SSU rRNA
Rfam family: Bacterial small subunit ribosomal RNA
Source: RNAcentral